GCGGCGGACGGGUGAGUAACACGUGGGGCAACCUGCCCUGCAGACUGGGAUAACUUCGGGAAACCGGAGCUAAUACCGGAUAACACCGAAAACCGCAUGGUUUUCGGUUGAAAGGCGGCUUUUAGCUGUCACUGCAGGAUGGGCCCGCGGCGCAUUAGCUAGUUGGUGAGGUAACGGCUCACCAAGGCGACGAUGCGUAGCCGACCUGAGAGGGUGACCGGCCACACUGGGACUGAGACACGGCCCAGACUCCAACGGGAGGCAGCAGUAGGGAAUCUUCCGCAAUGGACGAAAGUCUGACGGAGCAACGCCGCGUGAGCGAAGAAGGUCUUCGGAUCGUAAAGCUCUGUUGUCAGGGAAGAACAAGUGCCGUUCGAACAGGGCGGUACCUUGACGGUACCUGACGAGGAAGCCACGGCUAACUACGUGCCAGCAGCCGCGGUAAUAC
RNAcentral lists this ribosomal RNA (448 nucleotides) under Aeribacillus sp. U22D012. Its description in RNAcentral is "bacterial SSU rRNA". It matches the Rfam family "Bacterial small subunit ribosomal RNA", at positions 95 to 526 of the family's 1533-position model. Lineage: Bacteria; Bacillati; Bacillota; Bacilli; Caryophanales; Bacillaceae. The record is from RNAcentral.